This 417-nucleotide ribosomal RNA is filed under the name Triticum aestivum (bread wheat). RNAcentral describes it as "partial small subunit ribosomal RNA". The record is from RNAcentral. Lineage: Eukaryota; Viridiplantae; Streptophyta; Magnoliopsida; Poales; Poaceae.
AUGAAACAACCUCCUGGGUUUGUAAAUGCACAGGCACCACUUCAUGUGUGCAAACUUGACAAGGCCCUAUAUGGACUGAAACAGGCCCCAAGAGCAUGGUAUUCUCAUCUCAGUAAAAAGAUGCAAACACUUGGUUUUGUUCCUUCGAAGUCUGACACUUCGUUAUUUAUCUAUAACAAGUUAAGAAUAUCUAUAUUUGUUCUCAUUUAUGUUGAUGAUAUAACUAUGACAAGCUCAUCUGAUGAAACAAUAACAACACUAUUGAAGGAUUUAAGUGCAGAAUUUGCUCUCAAGGAUCUAGGAGAUCUACAUUAUUUUCUUGGUAUUGAGGUAGUAAAGAGGAAGAAUAUCAUUCACCUCUCUCAAGAAAACUAUGCAACAGACGUAGUGAAAAAAGACUGGUUUGCAAAGUUGUAA